This is a non-coding RNA of Caenorhabditis brenneri, 72 nucleotides long. Lineage: Eukaryota; Metazoa; Nematoda; Chromadorea; Rhabditida; Rhabditidae. The record is from the annotation of a GenBank genome assembly.
GCUCUCGCAGCCUAGCGGUUAGCGCUGCCGUUUUGAAAACAAGCAUCGCGGGUUCAAACCCCGCUCGGGCCA